Ictalurus punctatus (channel catfish) is the source of this 1332-nucleotide long non-coding RNA. Lineage: Eukaryota; Metazoa; Chordata; Actinopteri; Siluriformes; Ictaluridae. The record is from Ensembl.
GGGGCCUGCUUGAAGAUUUUAUGGAACUGACACUGAUUAUAGAUCAGACAAGAGGGAACAUGUGAUAAAACACACAGACGCAAACCCAGAGCCAGGAUUCUCGGAAAAGUGAGAUCAUUGUUUUUAAAGAAAAACAGGCGCAUAAGAACAUGAGCUUCACACACACACUCUCACACACACACACGGAUUUCAACAUACUGGCCUGCGAUUUCUGAUAUGACAUUAGUGAUCAAUUCCGAUAACAAUACUUGUUGCAAAACUUUGAAAAAUGAGGGUUAGAUUAGAUAUGAGCGUGGAAUAAGGAGAUAACAUCACCUCACAGGUCAGUGGUAAACAAUGCACAAAGUCCAGUUAGGGCAGUUUUUCUACUGCACAUAUAGAAACAAAACCAAGCCUUGAGAAACUCUUUUGAGAAACAAGGAACACAGUAAAUUCAAGUGCCUAUGAUGCAUUUGACACCAUUUUAAGCCCCUUAUGGCUGAGGUAGGAAAUGCUAACAGGCUAUGCUAAUAACUGAUGUAGAAAAAAAACACUAACACUCUGAGGUAAUCUCUAAUGUAGAAUAAAACACUAACACUGAGGUAAUCACUAAUGAGGUAAUCUCUAAUGUAGAAUAAAACACUAACACUGAGGUAAUCUUAAUGUAAGAAUAUAACACUAACACUCUGAGGUAAUCUCUAAUGUAGAAUAUAACACUAACACUCUGAGGUAAUCUCUAAUGUAGAAUAAAACACUAACACUCUGAGGUAAUCGCUAAUGUAGAAUAAAACACUAACACACAUAGAAUUAGAAGCUACCACUAUCUAAGCUAAUCACUGAUGUUAGAUGAAGGGCUAACACACUAAACCAAUUCACAGCGAUGGUGAAAAUGAAGACCUAACGCUCAGCUAAUGACUGGUGUAAACUAUGGCGUAGGUCGAAGGCCUAGCGUCCUUAGCUAAUGACAUAUGUAGCUUUGCUAAUCACAUAUGUAGCAUGACGAGCUAAAUAUAGGGUAGACUGCUUAUAUCAAAACAAGCUGUGUGCUACAGACACCAUGUCAUUAUGUCAGCUGUGAACUUCAACACCUUCAUACUUCAUUUUGAGAGAUUUGUUGCAGCCUGAGUGAAGUGGACUCGCCUGAUUCUGUUCACACUGUAUUUCCUUUCACCUCAGCAAAAUUUUGAUCAGAUUGAUCAGAAACAGUAACUCUGACCUCUGGUGUUUAAGUGUGUUUGUACCUGAGCUUGUUAAAGUUUAAGUCUGGUUUCAUGAUUGUGGUGCUAUUUAGCCCUUGUUGUACCUCUUAGAAAAUACAUUAAAAAAAAAAAAAAAAAAAAAAAGAUUGUAGGG